RNAcentral lists this ribosomal RNA (549 nucleotides) under uncultured Glomeromycotina. RNAcentral describes it as "SSU rRNA". It matches the Rfam family "Eukaryotic small subunit ribosomal RNA", at positions 548 to 1098 of the family's 1831-position model. Lineage: Eukaryota; Fungi; Glomeromycota. The record is from RNAcentral.
UUGGAGGGCAAGUCUGGUGCCAGCAGCCGCGGUAAUUCCAGCUCCAAUAGCGUAUAUUAAAGUUGUUGCAGUUAAAAAGCUCGUAGUUGAAUUUCGGGAUCAAUAUGUUGGUCGUGCCAUUGGUACGUACUGGCAUUAUUGGUUUCUACCUUCUGAAGAACCUCGAUGUCAUUAAUUUGGUGUCUUGGGGAAUCAGGACUGUUACUUUGAAAAAAUUAGAGUGUUUAAAGCAAGCUCGCGCUUGAAUACAUUAGCAUGGAAUAAUGAAAUAGGACGUUUGAUUCUAUUUUGUUGGUUUCUAGGAUUGACGUAAUGAUUAAUAGGGAUAGUUGGGGGCAUUAGUAUUCAAUUGUCAGAGGUGAAAUUCUUGGAUUUAUUGAAGACUAACUACUGCGGAAGCAUUUGCCAAGGAUGUUUUCAUUAAUCAAGAACGAAAGUUAGGGGAUCGAAGACGAUCAGAUACCGUCGUAGUCUUAACCAUAAACUAUGCCGACUAGGGAUCGGAUGAUGUUAAUUUUUUAAUGACUCAUUCGGCGCCUUACGGGAAAC